GGCAGAGGAGGAGGCGGCUGGAGUGGGAGGGAGGGUUUUCUCUGUUCUUUCUGGUCUUUUUCAUAGUCAGAGAGAGAGAGGAGGCAGGAUGGGGCAGACUGAAGGGUGGGCACCGCCGUGUCCCCUCCCAGAUGGCAAUGAAAUGUCUUGGGGGAGCGCCUUUUCCAAACCCAGCACAAAGGAACUGUUCUCAUGCAUCAGCUGCAGCUCUACACACAGGUUUGACAAUUGGGUGGCUUUGGUUUUCUCUGCAAGGCAGGUGGGUUUACCUGAUGAGUGUGAAGGGAUCAGAGGUAGAGGAGAGAGGAGCAAGUAUGUAGUGCUCACUCUGGAGCCCUGGAAGGAGGGCUGAAUAUUUCCCCCUGGGAAACGUGGGGGGUGAAUUUUUUUGGUGGCUCCAAUCUGCUAGGGCACAAUUUCCUCACAGGUGUGGAGGUGGCACGAGCCUUGAAGGAGACACACAUGUAUGUGAAUGCAUGUGCAGGUCUAUGUAGAGAUGAGGUGUAUAUGUGUACAGGUAAGAAUAUCAGUGUGCGUGUGUUUUCAUAUCAUAUAUAGGUAUAAGAGAACAAAACUUUAUGUAUGUCUAUAAGUAGGUGCAUAUGUGCACACAUGUCUGGGUAGGUGUCAGAUGUUGCUACAUGAUACUUUCUUGAGUGUCUUCGUUUGGGCUAAAGCUUUCAAACUUAGGAUAAUUGGAGCCCCACAUCCCUACAUUUAAAGCCCGAUGCUGGAUCAUCCAUAUGCGAUGUGCUGGGGGAGCUAGGUUUGAUUGAAUUUUUGGCGUCAAUUCUCAAUCAUUCCCUGUAUUCAUGCCCUUUGCUAUGUAACUGCAGUUUCUCCCACAAAAGGUGGAAUGUAUUUCCCUGGACCUUGGCUUUGGACUCAUGUGACUUUUGCUUUGAGCAGCCAGAUGUUAGCAGAUGUGACACAGAGACUUGAAAUGUGCUUAUACAGUGGAGUCUGCCCUCUUAAACUCUUGCCAUCAUCAUGAGAAGAGCACCUGGCUAGGGCGCUGAUUCCAGGAGCACCUUUUGGUUCCAGGAGGGGGAUGGAGGAUAUGCAGAGCAGAACCAGCCAACCUGCAAACUCAUGAAUGAGAACAAAUGCAUAUUAUUGUGUGUGCCACUGAAAUUAUGUGCUUGCUUGUUACACAGCAUUAUUGUGGUAAUAGUUGACUGAUACAAAAAUUGGUACCAAGAGUGGGGUGUGUUAGCAACAAAAAUGAAAAUAUGUAGCACUGGCUCUGGGACCAACUGGUGAGCAGUAAGUGAACUGUUACAGCAGGCUUGAAAAAAGGUGGCCCAUAUUAUAUAGAGACAAAACGCUUGGUAAAACUGUCAAUCUACAGUAACUUGAAGAGAGCAAAUGGAUUUAAGCGAGAUAGUUUCCAGGCAAAAUGUUGAAAGCAAAAGCUGGCGCCUUUGGGCUACAUUUGAUAAGGACUUACGAGAAAGAGAGCAACUCAUAAAAGAUAUAGGAGUGUUGCAGGGCACAGAGUGUUUAGAGGGAAUAUAGAGAGCCUAGAACUUGCUGAGUUGGAAAAUUAAUCUGUCAACUCUAGCCUCUCCUGCCAGUAAAUCAUUCUCAAAUUAAGAUAGAGCCUGGACAAAAGACAAAGAUCAAACUAAGGUCAUGGCCAGUUAAGACUCUAAAAUAGUAAGGUACCAUCUAGUAGAUGCUCUCAGCUACUCAAAAAGGCUUCCAGAAAGCUUAAGAGGUUGGCCCCACAGAAGCUUGAUGUACUCAAAGUAGUUAUAAUUGAGUCUAGAGACACUGGCAUGACUCAAAAAUAAUUGUGGGUGUGGCUUUCGUUACAUGGAGUUAAGUGGAAUCAAAUACAUAGAAAACCCACAAAGUGUUUGAGGUAGGUACAUGGCCAAAACUAUGAUCAGCUUAGGCUAAAGGGACUGAGACCAUUCAAGGUAUAAAAAGACAUCUGGGUCCCUAACUUUCUUCAGGCAGGAGGCAGGCUAAGAAAGCUGUUCAGCUGCCCAAAGGACAUAUUCUUCAAUGGUCUCUUUAGAAGUGGCCAAAAAGACUAAUGGAAAAGGAAGGGUUUUCAGAGAGCAGAGCCAAGAGCUGUGGAAACCAAUGGAUUAGCAAGUCAACCCCAGGGAGGAAAGCUCGGGCCUAAUCAAGGAACAUUCCCAGAGUAUUCACCCAACAUUCGCCCAGAAGGACUCCAGAAGUGUCAUGGAUCAGUAAGUUUCUGAAUUCCCUUUCUCUCUCUUUCUGAACGGGAGUAUGAAUUGCAGUUAUCCUGUACAUAUUUUGCCAAUGUAUGCUGGAUGUGUGGGGAGUUGGCAGGGCAGGUAGAUAACUUUUUUUUUUAGAUUUUAGGUCAUUCAACCAAGAGGAGCCACAUCCAGACCUGAUAUAGAUCAGGAGAUCUUGCUGUUAUGACUAGAAGAGACUUUGGGAGGUCUUAAGUAUAGGCGUAUUUUCUAUGUGAGAGGGGUGUGAAUAAAUGUGGCCAAGAGAGUGGACUGUAAUAGAGUGAAUUAUUGACCCUGAUUCUUCACUCCUCCCUCCAUACUCCUUGCCAUAGAAAUACAGUUUUUUUACACAAAGGUGGGAGGGUAUUUCUCCAUCCUUUGUCUUUGAGCUCAAUCAUAGGACUUGCUUUAGCCAACAGGAUUUUAGCAGAUAUUAUGCAAGCAGGGGCCUUGAAAUGUGCUUGGGUAGUUAGGCUUGCUCUCUUGUGUUUAUGCCAUCACCAUGAGAAGAAUAUGCCCUGGCUAGGCCACUGACCCAGGACUCUUUGGUCGUAGGAGGAGGAUGAGAGACAUGUGGAGCAGAGCAGUUCCAGCUGACCCACAAACUUGGGAGCAAGAAAUAAACGUCAGUUGUUGUGUUACAA
Equus caballus (horse) is the source of this 2863-nucleotide long non-coding RNA. RefSeq lists it as uncharacterized. The record is from RefSeq and is a predicted model, not a curated record. NCBI's taxonomy places the organism in Eukaryota, Metazoa, Chordata, Mammalia, Perissodactyla, Equidae.